RNAcentral lists this unclassified non-coding RNA (244 nucleotides) under plant metagenome. RNAcentral's name for it is "partial contains small subunit ribosomal RNA, internal transcribed spacer 1, and 5.8S ribosomal RNA". The record is from RNAcentral.
UCUCCGUUGGUGAACCAGCGGAGGGAUCAUUACCAGAGUUUUACAACUCCCAACCCUUCUGUGAACCCACCUAUCGUUGCUUCGGCGGACUCGCCCCAGCGUCCGGACGGCCCCGCGCCGGCCCGCGACCUGGACCCAGGCGGCCGCCGGAGACCACACAAUCCUGUAUUCAUCAGUCUCUCUGAAUCCGCCGCAAGGCAAAACAAACGAAUCAAAACUUUCAACAAUGGAUCUCUUGGUUCUG